RNAcentral lists this ribosomal RNA (443 nucleotides) under uncultured bacterium. RNAcentral's name for it is "partial 16S ribosomal RNA". It matches the Rfam family "Bacterial small subunit ribosomal RNA", at positions 338 to 795 of the family's 1533-position model. The record is from RNAcentral.
CCUACGGGAGGCAGCAGUGGGGAAUAUUGGGCAAUGGGCGCAAGCCUGACCCAGCAACGCCGCGUGAAGGAAGAAGGCUUUCGGGUUGUAAACUUCUUUUCUCAGGGACGAAGAAAGUGACGGUACCUGAGGUAUAAGCCACGGCUAACUACGUGCCAGCAGCUGCGGUAAUACGUAGGUGGCAAGCGUUAUCCGGAUUUUUUGGGGGUAAAGGGCGGGUAGGCGGGAGCGCAAGUCAUAUGUGAAAACUCAGGGCUCAACCCUGAGCCUGCAUUUGAUACUGUGUGUCUUGAGUGCUAGAGAGGCAAGCGGAAUUCCAUGUGUAGCGGUGAAAUGCGUAGAUAUACGGAGGAACACCAGUGGCGAAGGCGGAUUGCUGGACAGUAACUGACGCUGAGGCGCGAAAGCGUGGGGAGCAAACAGGAUUAGAUACCCCAGUAGUC